This 468-nucleotide ribosomal RNA is filed under the name uncultured bacterium. Its description in RNAcentral is "partial 16S ribosomal RNA". It matches the Rfam family "Bacterial small subunit ribosomal RNA", at positions 28 to 507 of the family's 1533-position model. The record is from RNAcentral.
GACGAACGCUGGCGGCGUGCUUAACACAUGCAAGUCGAACGGAAAGGCCCUGCUUUUGUGGGGUGCUCGAGUGGCGAACGGGUGAGUAACACGUGAGUAACCUGCCCUUGACUUUGGGAUAACUUCAGGAAACUGGGGCUAAUACCGGAUAGGAUCUCCUGCUGCGUGGUGGGGGUUGGAAAGGUUCGGCGGUGGGGGAUGGACUCGCGGCUUAUCAGCUUGUUUGUGGGGUAGUGGCUUACCAAGGCUGUGACGGGUAGCCGGCCUGAGAGGGUGAACGGCCACAAUGGGACUGAGAUACGCAGCAGAAUGCUACGGGAGGCAGCAGUGGGGAAUAUUGCACAAUGGGCGGAAGCCUGAUGCAGCAACGCCGCGUGCGGGAUGACCGCCUUCGGGUGGUAAACCGCUUUCGACGGAGACGAAGCGGGAGUGACGGUAAUGGGUAAAGAAGCACCGGCUAACUACGUG